This is a long non-coding RNA of Anser cygnoides (Swan goose), 1023 nucleotides long. Lineage: Eukaryota; Metazoa; Chordata; Aves; Anseriformes; Anatidae. The record is from Ensembl.
AUGAAUUUAGAAUCAAUAACUAAGCUAUUGGAUGAUCGUAAAAGGCAAGGAAAGGAAAAUGCUGUCCUAUCCCAAGGAAUACAAGAGAGUUAUCAAACAUGGCUGUGUCCCUCUUGCCACUUUGAUGCUGAGGGACUCGUCCAGCUGUAAACCCACAGCAUUGUUUGAGAGGCCAUCAAGACCCAAACAGACCUAUAUGCGGUUUCACAAGGCACCCGGUUUUGGAGACAAAGGACAGUGAUGACUCUUGACGAUUCACAGAGUUGGGAUAGGAUGGAGACACUGCUCACUGUCAGCUCCAGAAGGUCUCAAAAACUCCUAUCUAUUACCUGGACAUUGUCAUCAGCCUACAAAGAACCUCAACCUUUGUGACAAAAUCUUGACAGCUGCCAUCUCUUGUCCUCCCUGUCAUCACAACAGAUCCUGGACCUCACAUUUGUGGACAAGAAGCCUGAGACACCACAGACAUCCAGAUGCUGGUGAGUACAAGAAUUUGAGAGCCUGAGUGAAAGUUUUUUUGUUUGUUUUUAAUUUGAAAUAAGUUCACCUUCAUCUCCUGUAAGAUCUGAGGUGGGUAUUUGCUACAUUGCUAAUAUGCUGUGCAACAGUAUUUCCUACAUAUACACAUACAGGCACAAUUGGGAAUGUGUCUCAAAUAUGAUUUCAAAUGUGAAGAAUCUAUACUUGAUUGAAAUGAUCUGACUAAAAACACUUCCUUGGGCCCAUUCAUUCAAGACUUCCCCCUAGGAUCCUUUCUAGCAGUUUAUCAAAUACUUUACAAAAGUUACGUGGUCCAAAGCACAUACAGCCGUAUGUGCACCUAUACAUUUAUCAAAAUGUAUAUAUUCAUUUAAUUCUUGUCAACUUCUGCCUUAUUAGUAAAACCCAGUUCCCCAUAUGCUGAAACAAUGACCUUUAUAUUAUAAAUUCAAGGAUUUAUAAAACAGAUGGUGGAGAUAAAAAAAAAAGGAAAAACAGAAAGAAAAAAAGACAACAAAUAAAACUCCAGCUUGUCCGGCUGCA